GGGGCUGAUUUGGAUUAGACAGCAAGUUGAGUGGGAUUGUAAGCAUGCCGAGCGUUGUGAAUAUGGCUCGUAAAUCCUAAUUCACGAAGCCUAUAAACGGCGACAAUCACAAUUACGCAAUGGCAGCCUAGUAGUAGCUAUUAGCUGCUUGCUGUUUCCCGGAAAGCGACGUCCGUUAGCGUUCCGAGUGAAGCAUCGAUAAAAUACGGAAUAAGGCAGGUAACGCUUCGGUGCCUGCACGAAAAAUAAAGAAGCUCUGGCUGAAGAUAGGGCGGCCUUUUCCCGGUCCGAAGCCGAAAUCCCAACUAAAGGCUAAGCAUGUAGAAAGCACUUUCGCUGCUUGUUUGGACGAGGGUUCAAGUCCCUCCAGCUCCACAA
RNAcentral lists this transfer-messenger RNA (378 nucleotides) under Bacteroidales. RNAcentral describes it as "PUPG01 sp007695305 Standard tmRNA". It matches the Rfam family "transfer-messenger RNA". Rfam says of the family: Bacterial tmRNA, also known as 10Sa RNA or SsrA, is named for its dual tRNA and mRNA-like properties. Its role is to liberate the mRNA from a stalled ribosome. RNAcentral also lists the same sequence under 1 other name. The record is from RNAcentral. Lineage: Bacteria; Pseudomonadati; Bacteroidota; Bacteroidia.